This 877-nucleotide long non-coding RNA is filed under the name Equus caballus (horse). RNAcentral's name for it is "lncRNA (ENSECAG00000053711.1)". The record is from RNAcentral. Lineage: Eukaryota; Metazoa; Chordata; Mammalia; Perissodactyla; Equidae.
AGCCUGGGUUAUCCAGGUGGACCCAAAGUAAUCACCGGAGUCUUUAAAAGCAGAGAACUUUCUCCACCUGCCAUCAGAAAGAGAUGUGUUAAAAGAGAGUAGAAGAGAUGAGGCAGAAGGUGAACCAGGGAGAUUCAAAAUGUAGGAAGGACUCGGACUAUCACUGCAGCGUUUGAUGGUGGGAGAAGGAACUUACAAGCCAAGGAAUGCGGGUAACCUUGAGAAGCUGAGAACAACCCAAUGAGGACAUGGGGAACCUCAGUCCUACACUGCAUACAACUGAAUUCUGCCAACAUCCUGAGCGAGCCUGGGAGCCGAUUCUUCCCUCAGAACCUCCUGAACAGAACAUAGCCUUGCUGACGUCUUUAUUCCGGGCUUGUGAUGCUCUAAGCAAAGUAUCCAGUCAAGUCUGCUGGACGUCUGACCUACAAACAGCACCUGGAGUCAGUCCUAGCAGCAGCCCCGCUCUGACCAUACCCGCUGAAGGCGUGCCAAGACAAUUCAAUGAGGAAAGAAGAGUCUUUUCAACAAAUGGUGCUGGGACAUCUGGAUAUCCACAAUUGGCAGCUGUCCAUUUCCAGACAUUUUCACUGCUCCUACUGUGACCUGAGAGUGUUGGAAAUCUUGCUCAUGAAAAUACCGGAGCUACAUCUUCCUUCAGGACUUCAAACGCAGUCACCACCAAUAUCUUAUUUAGAUGGGCUCCAAUUUGUGUAGGCAGCCCAAUAAAUAGUUUAUUUAUUUUGAAUCCUUCCUCUGGGAGUUUUAUUUUGCACUGCAGCCUAAUAUCUCAUUUCAAAGGGGGCAAGGAAAACAUCAGCUACUGAAAGGCACUGCAUUUUUUAUGUGCAGCUUAAAAACACUGCAUCUGGUGUGU